ACAAAGUUUGAUUUUUGCUUUGGGUUUUGUUUUAUAAUUAUUUAAUAUAUGUAAAUUUUAGUGGAUGCAUUCUGUUGAAAUUUGGGUGUGGUUAGGUUCAAUAUUUAAUAUUAGUAAUAGGGUUACUCUUGAGUUAGUAAAUUAUAGUAGGUUUGACAGAAUCUUGUGCCAGCAGUCGCGGUUAUACUUGGGGAUCAAAUGAAAUAUAUUAGUAAGAGUUAAUUGUUAGUUUUAUAGGAGUUUAUGUUUAUAAAGAGUGAAAUCAGAUUAUAAAAUAUAAAGGUUUAUAGGAAUGGGAGGUGAAGCUUAAAAGAUUAGGGUAUGGAUUAGGAUUAGAUACCCUAGUACACUUAAAUUUAAUUAAUAAGUACUAGAAUAUUAGAAGUUAUGUUCUUUAAAUUUAAAAAAUUUGGCGGUGUUUUAGUCUAGUUAGAGGAACCUGUAUUAUAAACGAUACAACACGCAUUAUCUUACUUACUUUAGUAAAUCAGUUUGUAUACCGUCAUUAUUAGAUAAUUUAUGAGAAAAUAUUAUUGAGGUCAUAUUAUUGAGUAUAUUAGAUCAAGGUGCAGCUUAUGGGUAAGUAAAUAUGGGUUACAAUAAAAUUUAUUUAAUAUGAAUUAGGUAUUUAAAUAUAUUUAUGAAGGAGGAUUUAAUUGUAAGAAAAAACAGUAAGAUUUUUUGAUAAAAGCUCUAAAUUAUGUACAUAUCGCCCGUCGCUUUCAUUUAAGGUGAAAUAAGUCGUAACAUAGUAGGGGUACUGGAAGGUGCCUCUAGAAUUAU
Molecule: non-coding RNA, 783 nt
Filed under: Cambarus robustus
Lineage: Eukaryota; Metazoa; Arthropoda; Malacostraca; Decapoda; Cambaridae
Source: RNAcentral